Molecule: ribosomal RNA, 468 nt
Filed under: uncultured bacterium
Lineage: Bacteria
Description: partial 16S ribosomal RNA
Rfam family: Bacterial small subunit ribosomal RNA
Source: RNAcentral
GACGAACGCUGGCGGCGUGCUUAACACAUGCAAGUCGAACGGAAAGGCCCUGCUUUUGUGGGGUGCUCGAGUGGCGAACGGGUGAGUAACACGUGAGUAACCUGCCCUUGACUUUGGGAUAACUUCAGGAAACUGGGGCUAAUACCGGAUAGGAGCUCCUGCUGCAUGGUGGGGGUUGGAAAGUUUCGGCGGUUGGGGAUGGACUCGCGGCUUAUCAGCUUGUUGGUGGGGUAGUGGCUUACCAAGGCUUUGACGGGUAGCCGGCCUGAGAGGGUGACCGGCCACCUUGGGACUGAGAUACGGCCCAGACUCCUACGGGAGGCAGCAGUGGGGAAUAUUGCACAAUGGGCGGGAGCCUGAUGCAGCAACGCCGCGUGCGGGAUGACGGCCUUCGGGUUGUAAACCGCUUUCGCCUGUGACGAAGCGUGAGUGACGGUAAUGGGUAAAGAAGCACCGGCUAACUACGUG